This 490-nucleotide ribosomal RNA is filed under the name uncultured bacterium. RNAcentral describes it as "partial 16S ribosomal RNA". It matches the Rfam family "Bacterial small subunit ribosomal RNA", at positions 30 to 507 of the family's 1533-position model. The record is from RNAcentral.
AUUGAACGCUGGCGGCAGGCCUAACACAUGCAAGUCGAACGGUAACAGGAAACAGCUUGCUGUUUCGCUGACGAGUGGCGGACGGGUGAGUAAUGUCUGGGAAACUGCCUGAUGGAGGGGGAUAACUACUGGAAACGGUAGCUAAUACCGCAUAACGUCUCAAGACCAAAGAGGGGGACCUUCGGGCCUCUUGCCAUCGGAUGUGCCCAGAUGGUAUUAGCUAGUAGGUGGGGUAACGGCUCACCUAGGCGACGAUCCCUAGCUGGUCUGAGAGGAUGACCAGCCACACUGGAACUGAGACACGGUCCAGACUCCUACGGGAGGCAGCAGUGGGGAAUAUUGCACAAUGGGCGCAAGCCUGAUGCAGCCAUGCCGCGUGUAUGAAGAAGGCCUUCGGGUUGUAAAGUACUUUCAGCGGGGAUGAAGGGAGUAAAGUUAAUACCUUGGCUCAUUGACGUUACCCGCAGAAGAAGCACCGGCUAACUCCGUG